AGAGGGGGCAAGCGUUGUUCGGAAUUACUGGGCGUAAAGGGCGCGUAGGCGGCCUACUAAGUCAUACGUGAAAUCCCACGGCUCAACCGUGGAACUGCGUAUGAGACUGGAAGGCUUGAAUUCGGGAGAGGGAUGCGGAAUUCCAGGUGUAGCGGUGAAAUGCGUAGAUAUCUGGAGGAACACCGGUGGCGAAGGCGGCAUCCUGGACCGACAUUGACGCUGAGGCGCGAAAGCCAGGGGAGCAAACGGGAUUAGAUACCCCGGUAGUCCUGGCCCUAAACGAUGAAUGCUUGGUGUGGCGGGUAUCGAUCCCUGCCGUGCCGAAGCUAACGCAUUAAGCAUUCCGCCUGGGGAGUACGGUUGCAAGAAGGCUG
RNAcentral lists this ribosomal RNA (374 nucleotides) under uncultured bacterium. Its description in RNAcentral is "bacterial SSU rRNA". It matches the Rfam family "Bacterial small subunit ribosomal RNA", at positions 527 to 896 of the family's 1533-position model. The record is from RNAcentral.